UCCGGUUUGUCACCGGCAGUCUCUGCAGAGUCCUCGGCUUUACCCGUUAGCAACAGCAGAUAAGGGUUGCGCUCGUUGCGGGACUUAACCCAACAUCUCACGACACGAGCUGACGACAGCCAUGCACCACCUGUGAUGGAGCCCGAAGGGGGCCGUGUUUCCACGGCUUUCUCCAACAUGUCAAGCCCAGGUAAGGUUCUUCGCGUUGCGUCGAAUUAAACCACAUGCUCCGCUGCUUGUGCGGGUCCCCGUCAAUUCCUUUGAGUUUUAAUCUUGCGACCGUACUCCCCAGGCGGAAUGCUUAAUGCGUUAGCUGCGCCACCGACGGGCAAGCCCGCCAACGGCUGGCAUUCAUCGUUUACGGCGUGGACUAC
Molecule: unclassified non-coding RNA, 374 nt
Filed under: uncultured bacterium
Lineage: Bacteria
Description: contains 16S-23S intergenic spacer region
Source: RNAcentral